Otolemur garnettii (small-eared galago) is the source of this 187-nucleotide small nuclear RNA. NCBI's taxonomy places the organism in Eukaryota, Metazoa, Chordata, Mammalia, Primates, Galagidae. The record is from Ensembl.
AAAAGGGGCUGCACAUAUAUUUGAUUAAGAACCACCAUAGAUGUAAUUCCUUGAUUUUAUUUAAAAAUGUCCCCCUACACACAUGGGGCAACUCAGCUGCUCUUCGUGCAGAAUUGACAUCAAGAGAUUUCGGAAGCAUAAUUUUUUGGUACCUGGGUAGCUGGUGAUGGUUGGUCCCAGCGCCCAU